UUCUUUCUGGUUUUGUCACUGGUGAUGACGGGAUGCUUCUUCUGGCAGUACCAGCUGCCCAAACUUCUGCCAGAUGAAGGAAUGGGUCGCAACGCCAAAGCAGAGAUGAUUUGUCCUCGGUUCCCCGAGGCUCUCCAGCUGGAGCAUCCUAUCGCCAGCCUGAAAGAGGCCCUGGAAAAGGUGGACGUUUUGCUUCGUCAGAGCAU
This is a long non-coding RNA of Etheostoma spectabile (orangethroat darter), 206 nucleotides long. RefSeq lists it as uncharacterized. Lineage: Eukaryota; Metazoa; Chordata; Actinopteri; Perciformes; Percidae. The transcript has 3 exons. The record is from RefSeq and is a predicted model, not a curated record.